Molecule: ribosomal RNA, 717 nt
Filed under: Spadella cephaloptera
Lineage: Eukaryota; Metazoa; Chaetognatha; Sagittoidea; Phragmophora; Spadellidae
Description: 12S ribosomal RNA
Source: RNAcentral
GCUUUGUGGGAGCAAGAAAAUUUUUAAUUUUUAAGUACAACUUCCGUUACACUUACUUUGUUUCGACUUACUCCAAAAUGGAGUUGACGGGCAAUGAGAGCAAAGUGAAAUUUUUUUUUCUUUUUAGUUAAAAGUACUAUCUAAUCCUAAAUUUUUUUUAAAAAUACUAUUGUCUUUCAAAUUUUAUAGCGAAAGUAAAGCAUUCAGGCCUGUUUAUUACCAACUUAUUUGUCUAAUUUGGUUAAACGGCAAUACACUGUUUUUUAGCUUUUGCAAAGAAGGUGGGUUAUCAGAUUUCAAAAGCCUCAGAUAAAAUUCGACUUCCGCCUGGUUUUUUAAGUUUUAAAAAUUAAUUUUAAUUUUUUUUUAUACUGCUCAAUUUUUUAUAUUAAUUUAUAAUUUUCUUGAUUACGGCGGUAUCUAAUCGCCUUUAAAUGUCCAAAGAUUUAAUUUUAUUUCUCAAAAUGAGUAUAUGAAUAAAUUUUAUCUAUAUACUAUUUCUUUAAUUUUUUUAUCCCUAAUAUAUUUUUAUUUUGGAAUUUUAGGGACCGUCUAGCCGCGGUUGCUGGCACGGUGAUUACCCCCUUUAAUACUUCUUAUAUAAAUUGUGAAAUUCUCUGCACUGGAGAUAAAUUAUAUUUUUUUUAAUUUCUGUAAUUUAUUGUCCCAUGAGCUUACUCUAUAAUUUUUAGAAUUUUAAAUCCGAAACAAAAAAUU